RNAcentral lists this long non-coding RNA (257 nucleotides) under Cicer arietinum (chickpea). RNAcentral's name for it is "long non-coding RNA (CARI_LNC002092)". The record is from RNAcentral. Lineage: Eukaryota; Viridiplantae; Streptophyta; Magnoliopsida; Fabales; Fabaceae.
CAAGAAAUUGACAGAUACUUUUAUACUAUCAUACACAUAUAAUAUGAGUUAAUCAAUUUUAGAUUUAAUAACUUCUCACAUGAAGUGUCACUACCAUUGAGACAUACACUUGAUAUUUAUGACAAUUUAUUUAUACUACGUUAAAUAAAUUAAUGUAUUAAAUACGCACCUUAAACCAUACAUAUUCAUAUUUGUCAAGAUUUAAGAGACCAAAAUUAUAAAUAAAUUUUCUUCCACCGGUCAAUCAUAAAUUUUUG